This 439-nucleotide ribosomal RNA is filed under the name uncultured bacterium. RNAcentral's name for it is "partial 16S ribosomal RNA". It matches the Rfam family "Bacterial small subunit ribosomal RNA", at positions 339 to 795 of the family's 1533-position model. The record is from RNAcentral.
CUACGGGGCGCACCAGUGAGGAAUAUUGCACAAUGGGGGGAACCCUGAUGCAGCAACGCCGCGUGGAGGAUGACGCAUUUCGGUGUGUAAACUCCUUUUAUAUGUCAAGAAAAUGACGGUAGCAUAUGAAUAAGCACCGGCUAACUCCGUGCCAGCAGCCGCGGUAAUACGGAGGGUGCAAGCGUUACUCGGAAUCACUGGGCGUAAAGGACGCGUAGGCGGGUUGGAAAGUCAGGUGUGAAAUCCUACAGCUUAACUGUAGAACUGCACUUGAAACUUCUAAUCUAGAGUAUGGGAGGGGGAGAUGGAAUUAGUGGUGUAGGGGUAAAAUCCGUAGAUAUCACUAGGAAUACCUAAAGCGAAGGCGAUCUCCUGGAACAUUAGUGACGCUAAGGCGUGAAAGCGUGGAGAGCAAACAGGAUUAGAUACCCCUGUAGUC